GGUUGUGGCUCAGUGGUAGAGCACUUGCCUAGCAUGUGUGAGGCCCUGGGUUCAAUUCUCAGCACCA
Molecule: transfer RNA, 67 nt
Filed under: Marmota monax (woodchuck)
Lineage: Eukaryota; Metazoa; Chordata; Mammalia; Rodentia; Sciuridae
Description: tRNA.Ala
Rfam family: tRNA
About the family: Transfer RNA (tRNA) molecules are approximately 80 nucleotides in length. Their secondary structure includes four short double-helical elements and three loops (D, anti-codon, and T loops).
Source: RNAcentral